Molecule: ribosomal RNA, 644 nt
Filed under: Platypareia sp. XHH-2010
Lineage: Eukaryota; Metazoa; Arthropoda; Insecta; Hemiptera; Delphacidae
Description: eukaryotic LSU rRNA
Rfam family: Eukaryotic large subunit ribosomal RNA
Source: RNAcentral
UUAAGUCUUGACGAGUAAGAGGGUCGCGACGGUGAGCGCAGAAGGGUCAGGGCGAGAGCCUGCCUGGAGCCGCCGUUGGUGCAGAUCUUGGUGGUAGUAGCAAAUACUCUAGCGAGGGCCUGGAGGACUGACGUGGAGAAGGGUUUCUUGUGAACAGCCGUUGCACAAGAGUCAGUCGACCCUGAGCCCUAGGAGAAAUCCGAUGACGAUGGGUGGCUUGACAAUACAACAAUCCACAGACUGUUUCUGUAGCGUUGAUCUUUGUUGUCAUGUGAUUUUGGCUGCUUGUAUACACUACCUGCCAUAGUAGUUGUGUCGUGGCUGCACUGACUUCAAGUUGACACACUGAACAGCUCCUAUCGGGCAAAAGGGAAUCCGGUUCCUAUUCCGGAACCCGGCUGCGUAACCGCUACUUUGCGGGCACUUGCUUGCGAGCGCUCGUCGGGGUAACCCAAACUGGCCUGGAGACGCCGGCGGGGGGUCUGGAAAGAGUUUUCUUUUCUUUAUAAGCGUUCGAGUACCCUGGAAUCCUAUAGCAGGGAGAUAGGGUUUGGAACGCGAAGAGCACCGCAGUUGCGGCGGUGUCCGGACCUUCCCCCCGGACCUUGAAAAUCCAGGUGAGGGCCACGCGGAAGUCGCGCCGG